Molecule: ribosomal RNA, 490 nt
Filed under: uncultured bacterium
Lineage: Bacteria
Description: partial 16S ribosomal RNA
Rfam family: Bacterial small subunit ribosomal RNA
Source: RNAcentral
AUUGAACGCUGGCGGCAGGCCUAACACAUGCAAGUCGAAUGGUAACAGGAAACAGCUUGCUGUUUCGCUGACGAGUGGCGGACGGGUGUGUAAUGUCUGGGAAACUGCCUGAUGGCGGGGGAUAACUACUGGAAACGGUAGCUAAUACCGCAUAACGUCGCAAGACCAAAGAGGGGGACUUUCGGGCCUCUUGCCAUUAGAUGAGCCCAGAUGGGAUUAGCUAGUAGGUGGGGUAACGGCUCACCUAGGCGACGAUCCCUAGCUGGUCUGAGAGGAUGACCAGCCACACUGGAACUGAGACACGGUCCAGACUCCUACGGGAGGCAGCAGUGGGGAAUAUUGCACAAUGGGCGCAAGCCUGAUGCAGCCAUGCCGCGUGUAUGAAGAAGGCCUUCGGGUUGUAAAGUACUUUCAGCGGGGAGGAAGGAAGUAAAGUUAAUACCUUUGCUCAUUGACGUUACCCGCAGAAGAAGCACCGGCUAACUCCGUG